GCGGUGUAUUUCUGCGCCGCCAGCACACACUGCUGUGGUUUGAUGCCACUCCCUCACCAAAACCUCGUGCUGUGAGUCAGUCUGUGCAGAUCGGCAGCAGAACGGACCUGCAGGAUGUUCUCAGCCUUCAUCACUUGUGUUCUGCUCUGCCUUCCAUAUGAAGCAGACGCGGUCACAUUUGACCCAACUUUUCCAAUAAUAACCCAGAGCGAGAAGAAGGUGGAGAUGAAAUGUCGCCACAACGACAGUAGUCUCAACGUGAUGCUCUGGUACCAGCAAACCCGGAGCGGUGGGAUGAACCUGAUCGGAUACGGAUACACGGGCUCGGAGCCCAUCCUGGAGAAGGAGUUUCAAUCCCAGUUCAAGAUGACCAGAGAAGACGUCCGCAGAGGAGGUCUGACCCUCCUGAGCGCCACAGAGUCAGACUCGGCGGUGUAUUUCUGCGCCGCCAGCACACACUGCUGUGGUUUGAUGAGAGCUCAUGACUAAAACCCCCCCCUCCGUGUGACGGGGGGCUGACAGACGGAGGAAACCAACGUCACUGAAGGAAGGACGUUUUCAGUAGAACUUCAUCGUGUUCUGGGAGAAAGAAGCCAUACUUCAGAAAAUGUAUGUUUCCGCUGCUGCUGCUGGCGUGGCGUUGAGGGGCCGUGUCUCGCCUCCACUGUGGAUCAGCUGAUCCAUCCAUCCAGGACAUCACUCCGGCUGAUCUAUGACCUGGUAGUUUUGAGUCUCGUCUCUCUGACUCAGAACGCCACCACAGUUUUCCCCAAUGAUAUGUAUGACUGACACACGGCGUGACAGACGUGCAGCAUGACUAUGCAUCGAGUAAUGAAUGGAGGAGGUCCGAAUAAGUACGAAAAGAACCACAAAU
This is a non-coding RNA of Oryzias melastigma (Indian medaka), 874 nucleotides long. Lineage: Eukaryota; Metazoa; Chordata; Actinopteri; Beloniformes; Adrianichthyidae. The record is from the annotation of a RefSeq genome assembly.